GGAUGAACGCUAGCGGCAGGCUUAACACAUGCAAGUCGAGGGGUAUAGGUUUUCGGACCUAGAGACCGGCGCACGGGUGCGUAACGCGUAUGCAAUCUACCUUUCACAGAGGGAUAGCCCAGAGAAAUUUGGAUUAAUACCUCAUAGUAUUGUAGAAUGGCAUCAUUUUAUAAUUAAAGUCACAACGGUGAAAGAUGAGCAUGCGUCCCAUUAGCUAGUUGGUAUGGUAACGGCAUACCAAGGCAACGAUGGGUAGGGGUCCUGAGAGGGAGAUCCCCCACACUGGUACUGAGACACGGACCAGACUCCUACGGGAGGCAGCAGUGAGGAAUAUUGGUCAAUGGGCGCAAGCCUGAACCAGCCAUGCCGCGUGCAGGAUGACGGUCCUAUGGAUUGUAAACUGCUUUUGCACAGGAAGAAACAACGCUACGUGUAGCGUCUUGACGGUACUGUGAGAAUAAGGAUCGGCUAACUCCGUG
This 479-nucleotide ribosomal RNA is filed under the name uncultured bacterium. RNAcentral's name for it is "bacterial SSU rRNA". It matches the Rfam family "Bacterial small subunit ribosomal RNA", at positions 27 to 507 of the family's 1533-position model. The record is from RNAcentral.